Mirounga angustirostris (Northern elephant seal) is the source of this 552-nucleotide long non-coding RNA. RefSeq lists it as uncharacterized. Lineage: Eukaryota; Metazoa; Chordata; Mammalia; Carnivora; Phocidae. The transcript is spliced from 3 exons. The record is from RefSeq and is a predicted model, not a curated record.
GGAGAAGGCCGUGCGAAGACGCAGCCACAAGCCUGCCGAGGGGUGCCAGGAACAGCCCGCAGCCCCAGGAACUGGGACAGAGAAGCUCCGCCACAUCCACACUCCUCCUGAGGACGCGACCUCCUAACGCACAUCGCAGCUCAGAGGAAGAGUUGGUCCAGCCUGAAGUGUGACCGGUUUACAGGCAGGGACGAGUCCACCCGAGCUGGGGGCUUCCACUGCGCUGCUGCUGGUCCUGGGCCCACACUGAGAAGGCAAGCGUCCCCUGAUCGUGGCCAGUGCGUGUGGCCAGGAGCUCUGCCUGCCGCCCGGACCCACCCCACCGCAUCCCAGGGCCAGGCAGGCUGAGGGACCCCGCACGUGAUCCACGCGUGGCCUAACCUGAUUGGCCAGCCUGCGCCAGGCACCUGCCCCAACCCCACGAGGUCCUGUGGUUGACAGGCUGACCUGCUGAUGGGAGGCGUCCCCGGGGCCUCACUUUUUCAUCAGAAGGAUGUGUGUGCCUCGGCCCUUCCGACCCCGACAGGUGAGCCCUGCACUCUCCAAGAGCUA